RNAcentral lists this ribosomal RNA (492 nucleotides) under uncultured bacterium. RNAcentral's name for it is "partial 16S ribosomal RNA". It matches the Rfam family "Bacterial small subunit ribosomal RNA", at positions 29 to 507 of the family's 1533-position model. The record is from RNAcentral.
AGUGAACGCUGGCGGUAGGCCUAACACAUGCAAGUCGAACGGCAGCACAGUAAGAGCUUGCUCUUACGGGUGGCGAGUGGCGGACGGGUGAGGAAUACAUCGGAAUCUACUUUUUCGUGGGGGAUAACGUAGGGAAACUUACGCUAAUACCGCAUACGCCCUACGGGUGAAAGCAGGGGAUCUUCGGACCUUGCGCGAUUGAAUGAGCCGAUGUCGGAUUAGCUAGUUGGCGGGGUAAAGGCCCACCAAGGCGACGCUCCGUAGCUGGUCUGAGAGGACGAUCAGCCACACUGGAACUGAGACACGGUCCAGACUCCUACGGGAGGCAGCAGUGGGGAAUAUUGGACAAUGGGCGGAAGCCUGAUCCAGCCAUACCGCGUGGGUGAAGAAGGCCUUCGGGUUGUAAAGCCCUUUUGUUGGGAAAGAAAAGCAGCAGGUUAAUACCCCGCUGUUCUGACGGUACCCAAAGAAUAAGCGCCGGCUAACUUCGUG